RNAcentral lists this ribosomal RNA (720 nucleotides) under Ditylenchus acutus. RNAcentral describes it as "eukaryotic LSU rRNA". It matches the Rfam family "Eukaryotic large subunit ribosomal RNA", at positions 386 to 955 of the family's 3401-position model. The record is from RNAcentral. Lineage: Eukaryota; Metazoa; Nematoda; Chromadorea; Rhabditida; Anguinidae.
AACAGAGGACGUGAACCGAUAAGGUGGAAACGGAUAGAGUCGACGUAUCUUGCUUGUAUUCAGCCAAGAGGGUGUUUCAUUCUGGUUAGUUGGUCCCGUUUUGGGCUGGCUGGUUAGUUUUGUUGCAUUCUCCGGGUGCAUUUACAAGUAGUGUGCGCUGAAAACCACAUGAAGGCACUGGAUGCGUAUUUUGAGGUCUCCAGCUUAGGAGAAACCCGGAUAUUAGUAAGGUUGAUCUUUGUGUGUUGAUUGGUCAGUCCACGUUAGGCUGAAUCAUCGGCUGAGGUUUGUCAUUGCUUUGGUCGCAUGCGACCUGGCUUUGAUGGGCUUUAGGUGGUGAGGAGGCCCCGUGGCUGCUUUCAGUGUAAAAGUCGAUCAUCUCUCCGACCCGUCUAUGAAACACGGACCAAGGAGUUUAGCAAGUGUGCGAGUCAUUGAGUGUAAAACUCAAAGGCACAAUGAAAGUAAAGGUUUCGCUUGACGAACUUAUAUGUGACCCUGCUAACUUCGGUUAGUGGGAGCAGCAUAGCCCCGUCCCAACUGCUUGCAGUGAGGCGGAGGAAGAGCAUACUUGCUGAGACCCGAAAGAUGGUGAACUAUGCCUGAGCAGGACGAAGCCAGAGGAAACUCUGGUGGAAGUCCGGAGCGGUUCUGACGUGCAAAUCGAUCGUCUGACUUGGGUAUAGGGGCGAAAGACUAAUCGAACCAUCUAGUACUGGG